Long non-coding RNA from Sapajus apella (tufted capuchin), 2399 nucleotides. RefSeq lists it as uncharacterized. The record is from RefSeq and is a predicted model, not a curated record. The transcript is spliced from 2 exons. NCBI's taxonomy places the organism in Eukaryota, Metazoa, Chordata, Mammalia, Primates, Cebidae.
UGAACCUGGGAGGCAGAGGUUGCAGUGAGCUGAGAUCGUGCCACAGCACUUCAAUCUGGGUGACAGAGUGAGACCUUGUCUCAAAAAAAUAGAAAGGGUGUUAAAUAUAAUCUGGCUCAGUCUUCUUCCAGUUCCUGAGUCUCUUCAAUGUUGCCAGUAUUUGGCCUCUCCAGGCCCUGCCCGAACACCCUCAGAGAUGAGGUAUUCACCCCUGACCUGUGCAGCUUAUUCUUUGUGGGCAAUGCUCAUUAUUAAAAUGUUCUUUCUGAACGUGAGCUCCACUCUGUCUGACAACUCUGCCCACUAGUGAUGCCACGCGGUGAGGCUGGUUGACCUUCCAGGUUAACCUGUCAGGCCUUCCCUAGGCUGAGCACCCUCAUUUUCUUCCGCUGUUUCUUAUAACGUGAUCUGAAGCCUCUUCCAACUCCUAGUCCUUCUUGAGUCCGCAUAUGAGCAUUUGUCUCUGUGGGUGCAAAUUUAAGUGUCCUUUAUGAGGAAAUGUACAUCUCUAGUUGGUGAACUUCCAUCCCUUAGAGAGAGAAAUAGAAGCAAAGAUUUAAAACAAGCUGUUUCUUUAUGUCUUGGAAACUUUUAAUUUAUCCAUCCAAGCUUUUUUUUUCUUUUAAAGCCUUUGAGAGCAGGCCACCAUCCAAGCUUAUUUCCACUAACCUAGAGAAUUAAAUAUAUCUGAUUUGUAGCACAAAAUAAAUAAAAGGUAAAAGUUCUCUCCAACCCUCCAUCAAGUGGUUUAAAAACUGUCAUUGAUUUUAUGUCUGGAAUUGAAGUUGUUUUGGUGCAUGCGUGCAUACACACAGAUACACACUAAUCCUAAAAAUGAGACGGAGAUGAGCUGCAAGAAAACUCAAAAGUGCUGUAAGUAUAACUCUCAAAAAUAGUGUUACAGCUUUAGAGUCCUUUUGUGUUCUGUUUGUAUCAAAAGCACAUUUAGGAGGUUCUUUAUAGGUGGGAGGGGAAUACAUCAAGAGGAAGAGGUUGCUUGAUUCUUGGUCCCUUAGAUUAUGAAGACUCUCUGGCCAGAGUUUUGGAAAAGGGAUUAUGUCUACAAGUAAACUUAUGGUUUCAGGACUGCCUUAGAAUCUUUUUCAAAAGAAGAAAGGAAAGUUCUCUACUAGGCAUUAAUGGCACCCACCUUAAUUUUUAGCCUUUGCCUUUUGGUUCCUGUAGGGGGAGCCCUUGAUAGCAGGUUUUUCCGCCUUCGACACUGGCUUGGAGGAAAACUCCAGUUCAAGCUGUUUAGGUAAUUUUGGCGUUUGGCCCACCUGCCCCAGCUUUGAAGAACAGUAACUUGUACAGGCAAUGCUGACUGAUGCUUGUCAGUCACAUGUGAGAAGAGAUUAGGAAGAUGAGUGGCAUGUAUUUAUUUUUUUUUUAAACUGUAAGCUUGGCUUCAGGGGUGGGAUUGAUUAUGUGGAUCUGUGCACAACCAGGUACGCUCGUUAGCUAAGCCCAUGAACACACACGGACAAGGCACCGACUGUGCUUCUGUGUUUGUGACUUUUUUUCUUGGAAAGAAGAAAAUGAAGUUGAAUUGAAUCCAUCUCUUAUUGGUAGGGUUUUUAAAAUGCUACGGUCCCGGAGAAAGCAGGGGAAGACUCAAUAAAAGUGAAAGUCUGCAUCACUGAACUUUUACCAUGUCCUUGUAACUGGGCUAUGCACUUUUUGUACAUUGGUUGGAGGUUAAGUAAUGUGCUCAAACUGGUCAGCUGGUCGGCCGCACAGCUAGGAUUCCAACUCACCAGCCUGGUGCAAGUCCGCUUUCUUCUCAGCCUGGCUCUACCGCCUUCCUCAGUACAGAAGUGGGUGCUUAGCACACCAUGCUGGUUUAUUGGAAGGUCAGCAGUUCCAUAUGCUUCAAUACAGGACACUUUGUCAGAGUGAAGUCAUGGAAAUCCAACUACUCAUGAAGAAUGCACAGAGGAAUAGAGACAGAAACACCCAUUUCCACAGGAUCUGCAUGGACCCUCCUGGGAAGCAGGAUGGGAAAUGUGAACAGCACCGGGCUUGGCCUCGGAACUUCAAGCACUUGCUGCCCUGACAUGGGCUAGGUCAUGACCUCAGGCAAGCCGCUGCACCCUGCCUCCAGCUCUGUGACCUUACAGAGUUGUUGCAAGGAUAAUGCUUGGGAAAGUGUCUUCGGAACUCUUCAAUAGCCUGUAAACCUAGGUUCCAGCAGAUGCAAUUCACAGAAUAUUCAAGGUUAGGCCAGUGCACGUGGCUAUGAACAGCAAACAAGAGCCUUUUCAAUGCCUGCAGUGCAAAAACUCAGUGAGUUAUUUUUCAGUGGAGGGGGGCACUUGGCAUAUGAACUCACACCACAAGAGUCACAUUUAAGUUAAUAUGUGUUUACGUUGUGUUGACAAAAAGGGUAGGAAGCCAAG